ACCUGGAUUUCCUUUCUGAUAAUGUGGUUUAUUUUCAGCCUUUUUACUGAGCUGGUGUUGUGUGUCUGUGGUUGACAUGAUGCUAAAAGGAGGAGGAUAAACUACGGCUCCGCCCACCUUAUAACUACCUGUUCAGUUUGCUGAAAGAAGGUUUUAUGACAAGAGGAGGCUGGAAAAAGUCACCGAGAGUAUCAUAUAAGAAACAUUAUUACCAAACAGAAAAGGCAGCAUGAUCAUCUUCUACCUGAUCAUUCAUUUGAACAUGUUUCUGGUUUCAGGCUCCUCGAACAGUGACAAAGUCGACCAGACUCCACGGGACAUUUUCAUCAAACCGGGCAAAGAUGCCAGAAUCAACUGUAAACACAAGAUCGAUAACUAUAACAUAAUCCUCUGGUACAAGCAGUCAAGCAAACAGAUGCAGCUCCUGGGAUAUAUGUUCACAACCAAAUCAUAUCCAGAGAAAGACGUUAAAGUGGAGAUGGAAGGGGACGCGAGUAAAGGAGAGAACUGCACGUUAAUAAUCGAGCGAGUCAAUCAGAGCAGCAGUGCGGUCUAUUUCUGUGCUGCUAGUUUACACAGUGCUGCAUGUCACUGCUCAGCAGUACAAAAACCUCCUCUUCAUCUCUACUGAACACCUGGAUUUCCUUUCUGAUAAUGUGGUUUAUUUUCAGCCUUUUUACUGAGCUGGUGUUGUGUGUCUGUGGUUGACGUGAUGCUAAAAGGAGGAGGAUAAACUACGGCUCCGCCCACCUUAUGACUACCUGUUCAGUUUGCUGAAAGGAGGUUUUAUGACAAGAGGAGGCUGGAAAAAGUCACUGAGAGUAUCAUAUAAGAAACAUUAUUACCAAACAGAAAAGGAAAGCAUGAUCAUCUUCUACCUGAUCGUUCAUUUGAACAUGUUUCUGGUUUCAGUUUCCUCUUCAAGUGACCAAGUCGACCAGACUCCAAGAGACAUUUACAGCAAACCAGGAGAACCAGCCAGAAUACAAUGUUCACACCAGAUUCAAAGCUAUAAUCAAAUCCUCUGGUACAAGAAGUCAAACAAACAG
Labrus mixtus (cuckoo wrasse) is the source of this 1049-nucleotide long non-coding RNA. RefSeq lists it as uncharacterized. The record is from RefSeq and is a predicted model, not a curated record. NCBI's taxonomy places the organism in Eukaryota, Metazoa, Chordata, Actinopteri, Labriformes, Labridae. The transcript is spliced from 3 exons.